RNAcentral lists this long non-coding RNA (324 nucleotides) under Capsicum annuum. Its description in RNAcentral is "long non-coding RNA (CANN_LNC000637)". The record is from RNAcentral. Lineage: Eukaryota; Viridiplantae; Streptophyta; Magnoliopsida; Solanales; Solanaceae.
GGCUUCUCCAAUGGAAGAGAGAAGUUCCAAAAUAUUACAAAGUGUUUGUUGUCUUCCAAAAUAUGAAUGAUCUAACUCAAAAAUAACCCUAACACUAUCUAUUUAUAUUAGUCCACAAAGGGAGAUAACAAAUGACCAUCCUACCCUUGCCAAGGGUGGCCUUGGAGUGUAAGUUUAUUACACUUCAAGGCUCCUCUUCACACUUAAAAGCAUUUAAUCCAUUGGAAGGCUCAAGUACCAACUCACACAUGGCCAUUUGCAUGAACAUAACUUGGAGUUUUUGUAACUCCUAAGCUUGGCUACGUGUGAAUGGUCGUGAACUUG